GAGGUGGCGGUGCUGGUGCAGCGGGUGGUGAAGGACAUCACCAACGCCUUUAGGAGGAACCCGCACAUGUGAUGCUAAAAGAAUUAAGAAGCCCUCAGAUGUCUUGCUCCCUUGUGGCACACAAUUGGACACCUGCAACUGUGCCUCAUUAAAAACAAAACACUGCUGACCUCAAAAAACACCUGCCACCUCUGACAGGACACCCUUCCUUUCGUUUAUGACUGUUGCCUUUUUCAAAAAUCAGUAUUUGGAAUAACUUCCUGGCAGUAACCAUAGUGGUUGCUGGGCUUUGUAAAGAAUGCUUUGAUGCCUGGUUGCAUGUCAGCCUUUCAAUCCUUAUUUGAAACUGGGAGCUUCAGUACAAAUAAGACACACCCUCAAAAACAAGUUGGACUAAUGAAGAUCCUCUUUUCUCGUCACUGGUGUUAUUUUUCUAGAAGAAAUUGGAGCAGAAUUAGGAGUCUAAUAAAUACAGUAAUCACUUUAGUUUCUCUUUGAGGUAGACUAAAUGUAUCAUUUUCUAUUUGAAAAAACAGACUAUUUCUGAUUGAGUGUUAAUGGGUUUGGCAGGUUGACACAAUGCAGUUUGGAACUUGUCCCAAUUCUUCUGGAUCAUAUUUAUCAAAACUCAUAAAGGACUUAAACCCUUUAAGUCCUAAAAAUACAAACCUUCCCUUCAUAUUUUUCUGUGAAAUGUCAUUAAAAUAUCUUGAACCAGUAUGCAACUUAAAAUUUUAUUAAUAAGCAUUGGGGUCAUUUAGGAUUUAAAAGUUAGCGAUAAGUUAGGUGUCUGAAAUAAUUUGAAAUAAUGGCAUGUAACAUAGAUCUGAGACAUUUAAAUAGCUUCAUUAGCUUAUUUAAUAUUAGCAGCUGUAUUUUAGCCCAUAUUUCUUACAGUAAAAAUAACUUCAAUAAUAUUGUAAUGCAUCUUUUAAAAUUUCUUAUAAUUUGGGUUUUUUUUAAUUGCUGGUACCUGUUUCUUUAAUUUAGCCAUUUUACUUCCUAAAUAAGGGGUUAUGUAUUUAUUUUAAAAAGGAAGAAUGUUGUUACCUUUAACAUCAGUAUCUAUUUACAAUAUUUUAAAAGUUUUAUUCUUUUUGUUUUCCUUUUUUUUCCGAACACAAGGUAGAUUAUAAUUUUGUUUGUCGACAUCUACUCCUUUGAAUAUAUUGACUUUUGCCUACAUAGAAAUAGCUAAUCAGGAAUAGUCAAAGGUACAGUAAGUGAGAUGUGGAUUCAUUAUCCUCUGUCAGCCUCAGUUUCCUCUUGCUCUUGUAAGGCUAAUGAGAACACAAGAAAAUCAUCUCACAUAGUCUUACUUAGUUGCCAUUAGGCAAAUACUAGACUCAACCUGAAUCUCUAUGUUCUUUGCUGAAAAUAUAGUGACCAAAUGAAUGAUGAAUAUGAAAUACUUUAUAAAAUGGAAAAUAACCUAGCAAAUUUUGUUUAUAUUCAUUAGUUGACUCUUAGAGAAUCCUUAUUCAUUCUCUGUAACUAAAGGCUUGAUCUAGGGAUAGGCAUUAUCCCAACAUACAGACCUUAUAUUAAUGUGGAAAACAGCUGUUUACAGUGUAAUCAGGGUCACAUUAAAGUUAUGAAUAAUAAUAUUUUUACUGUAUUGAUUGUUUAACAGUUUUGAGGUGCUAAAGGUACCAUCUUCACUGUAUGGAAUAAGAAGAUGUAUAAAAUAAUAUUUCUUGUACUGAAGGCACUCAGAAAUUUCUGAUGAUGAAAAUGUUCUGUAUCUGUGCCAUACUAGCCAUAUGUAACUGUCAAACACUUGAAAUUAGCCUAAUGUGAAUGAGUAAUCAAAUUUAAAUUUUUUUUUGCUUUAAGUUGAUUUAUGGCCUCAUAAGUCCAGUGACUACUGUAUUACAUGGUCUAGAUCUAGCUGAAGGCCUAAGAUCCACAGGCUUGAACAGUAAAGUAACCUUGCAAAGCAGUUAACAGUAAAGGCUGUAUUAACAGUAUGGUAAGUACAUACUGUGAGUGUUAGAAGUAGAGGGGAGGCUGGGGGUAUCUGGGCUCUUAGGGGAGGUGGAUUUUAAGCUAAUUGAAGUCUGGUUAGGAUUUAGAGUCUCAGGCUAAGAUGUUCUAAGAGCAGAGAAAUAACCAACAGUAGCAAAAUGAGAAGCUACUGAAGAGACAGAUCAUGAAAGUCUUUAGCUGUCAGGUUGAAUUUAUUUCAUUCCAUUCAUAUGUUCUGCAAAAGAGCACCUCUUUUGACAGACACAGUGCUUGUUUCUGGAGGUAGUAGACUAGGAGUUGGGUGUCAGGCCAGACAUGGAAUCCUGUCCUUUAGUGGAACUUAAAACAAAUCAGUAUAUACAGAUUAUGAAAAGAGGCAGAAAGAGUAAUUAUUAAGAGUGUUUUGAAAGAAUAAUAACAGGGAGGCCUUACUUAGGUUAGAAGGUCAAGAUGCUUCUUUCUGAGAAAAUAGUAAUUAAUAAAUUGAAACGAGAGGGAUGAAGGAUAGUUGGUUUGGGAAAGUAUACUUCUAAGCAGAUCCUAGUGAAAAUCUGUAAGGAAAUAGAAUGACAGGCACUUUUAAAUUGUCUGCCAGUUGAAUUGAAGAAUAGGAAACCAAAAGAUCUAAAGUUUUCUUUUUUUAUUGCUGCCAGGGAUUGAACUCAGGGGCACUCUAUGACUGAGGCACAUCCCCAACCCUAUUUUGUGUUUUUAUUUAGAGCCAGAGUGUCACUGAAUUGCUUAGUGCCUCAAUUUUGCUGAGGCUGGCUUUGAACUCUCAAUCUUCCUGCCCCAGCCUCCCAAGACACUGGGAUUACAGGAAUGUGCCACCACGCCCGGCCAGGAUCUACAAUCUUGUGUUAGGAUUUUAUAUUUAAAUUUUGUUGAAACAGUAGUAUCAUUGUAAAAGUUUGGUUAUAGGGUUUGAGAGACAUUUAUUUACUGACUGCAUAAACAAGACUGUUUUCUCAUUUGUAAAAUGAGAAUCAAUUUUUGCUGUUCAAGAUUAUUGUGCAGAAUAAAAGAAAUCAUGUAAAACCUAAUACAACUUUAUAAUAAACAAUAUACAGUA
This is a non-coding RNA of Ictidomys tridecemlineatus (thirteen-lined ground squirrel), 3040 nucleotides long. NCBI's taxonomy places the organism in Eukaryota, Metazoa, Chordata, Mammalia, Rodentia, Sciuridae. The record is from RefSeq and is a predicted model, not a curated record.